GAUGAACGCUGACAGAAUGCUUAACACAUGCAAGUCAACUUGAACUUCGGUUUGGGUGGCGGACGGGUGAGUAACGCGUAAAGAACUUGCCUCACAGAUAGGGACAACAUUUGGAAACGAAUGCUAAUACCUGAUAUUAUGAUUAUAUGGCAUCGUAUAAUUAUGAAAGCUAUAUGCGCUGUGAGAGAGCUUUGCGUCCCAUUAGCUAGUUGGAGAGGUAACGGCUCACCAAGGCGAUGAUGGGUAGCCGGCCUGAGAGGGUGAUCGGCCACAAGGGGACUGAGACACGGACCUUACUCCUACGGGAGGCAGCAGUGGGGAAUAUUGGACAAUGGACCAAGAGUCUGAUCCAGCAAUUCUGUGUGGACGAUGAAGUUUUUCGGAAUGUAAAGUGCUUUCAGUUGGGAAGAAAAAAAUGACGGUACCAACAGAAGAAGUGACGGCUAAAUACGUG
Molecule: ribosomal RNA, 454 nt
Filed under: uncultured bacterium
Lineage: Bacteria
Description: partial 16S ribosomal RNA
Rfam family: Bacterial small subunit ribosomal RNA
Source: RNAcentral